UGCUUCUCGGUUGAUGGUGUCGAAAAAGCGGAGACAUUCCCGAGGAAGAAGGCUGGAAUAAUGAAGGCGAUGGAGUCCAAGUGGGGUUGAGGAAGGGAAGGCCUUGUCUUGGGAGACUUGUGCUUCAGUGUGAUGUCAGCGGCGGCAGUGUCGGUGUAAUUGACUUGCUGGGGUGAUGGCGUCAUUUUAUGCCCUGCUGUAGCCUCCUGCUUCAAUAGCGAAAAGGGGGGAGACGGAGCUUUAGCGGACGCGGCCGUGGCUCCCUUCGCCCGGAUCGAGCACCGCCGAGCCGGACACCUCGCCACGGGAAACAUGGAGGCUGCGGCCGAGGAGCUGCUGGCCGGCUCUCGGGUACCUGUCACAAUCGAUCAAAUAGUUAACGAUACGCUGCUGGUGACGCUGACCUAUCGAGAACGGAGCUUCACGGGGAUUUUACUCGACUGUAACAAAAAGACUGGACUGUUCUGUUUACCAGAUUUCACAACAAAACCAGUGGACUUCCCGAUAUCCAAGACAUCUUGUGAAAUCCCAGAAGUGCAGGGUGACGAGCCAGAUUUUAAAUCUCCCAGCCAGUCAUCGCACAGACCAAAGGAUGAAAAUACUCUCCCAGAAAACGGUGCUGCCCCACCACUUUGUCCACUUCCAACACCAGUGCCAGCUGGGCAAAUGCCAUACCCUCCUUAUUUUGAAGGAGCCCCCUUCCCCCAACCUUUAUGGGUGCGCCACAGCUACAGUCAAUGGGUACCACAGCCCCCUCCACGACCAAUUAAAAGGAGGAAGAGGCGGACACGAGAGCAGGGACGCAUGGCCAUCAGUACCAUUCGUCUGCGGCCACGGCAGGUACUUUGUGAAAAGUGCAAAAAUACCUUGAAUAGCGAUGAGGACAGCAAAGAUGGCAUAAACAAUACCAAGACCUCGAGAAAAGAGAAUACACUACAGAGCGAUGAUGAUGGAGAUGACAAAGAUAUACCUAAUAAUAAGCUCUCAAAAAAAGACGAUGUAGUGGCAACCAAGGACAGUAAGAGACGGGAAAACGGCACCAGCAUUGACAGCAAACGCCUCAGGAAAGACAAAAAGGGGGAAUCUGAAGGGGAGAAGUUCUCUGGAAGUGACGUUAUCCCCCACAGUCCAGUUAUAAAGAUUUCAUACAGCACUCCACAGGGCAAGGGAGAGGUCAUGAAGAUCCCCUCGCGAGUCCAUGGUUCAGUAAAACCAUUCUGUCCUAAGCAACUAGUGCAGAAUGGCUUAACUGCAAACGGCAAGAUUCCAUCUAAUCCUACCAAGGAGCAAAGACACAUUUUAGAUGCUAGACGGUCUGGUCUUACUGUAUCCAUUCCCAAACUCAAACUGACGAGACCUUUCACCACCGUUUGUCAGGAUUUGCCAUCUCCAAAGAUCCGCUUGAAACACCCACCGAGGCAGCGCAAUGAGAGCGUGGUCGAAUAUGAGGCAGAACUUGUAGGAGAUCCCAGGAGACGAAGCCCAAGGGCAACUGCACCCUGUCUCGCCCACUCUGAAGACUCUGGGGAAGGCAAGAACUCUCUGGAGUUGUGGUCAGCGAGUUCUGGAGAGGAGGCGGAACACGGCCACAAUGACCUUACCCUUCUCAUCAAUUUCCGGAAGCGAAAAGCAGAUUCCUCCAGUCUGUCAGUUUGCAGCAGUGACAGCUUGGAUGAAUCCAAGUCUUUCAGUUCUGAUGGCACAUCACCAGAGCUGUGUGAUUUGGCACCUGGCGAGGAUCUAUCUGUAACCUCAUCUUCACUACCAUCACGGGACGAUUGCAAGACUGUUCCCCCACUCACAGUGCGGCUACACACCCGCAGCAUGACAAAGUGUGUGACAGAAGAGGGUCAUGCUGUGGCGGUGGGGGACAUUGUGUGGGGGAAAAUCCAUGGCUUCCCCUGGUGGCCUGCACGUGUUCUCAGUAUCAGCGGCACCCGCAAGGAGGAAACUGCCACUUCAGAGGCCCAGUGGCCCCAGGCAAAGGUGGCAUGGUUUGGUUCUCCUACAACAUCCCAACUCUCUGUUGCCAAACUUUCACCCUUCAGAGAGCUCUUCAGGUCCCGUUUCAAUCGUAAAAAGAAAGGGAUGUACCGCAGAGCCAUCCUGGAGGCAGCCAAGGCUGUUGGACACAUGAGCCCAGAGAUUACGUCACUACUUUCCCAUGGCGACACAUAGGAAGAAAACCUCUCCAUAUUCCAAGUGCAACUCACUAGUUUUUCUUCAGAAGUAAGUUAUUGACACGAUUCAUCAUUUCCACAUAAUCAGAAGAUCUCCAACAAUCGGUUAUGGCCAUUCCUAAGUUUAGUGUUCCAAACUGUACCUUGCCGAACUCUACUGCCGAGAGGAAACAUUCCAUGAAUGAAGAUAAGGGUAGUUCCUAUUGUAUCUGAAUACUGAGGCUGGGUGCAGAAAGGAGGUCGCAGAGGUUUUUCUUCUUUCGUGAAUUCUCAGACCCCGGUCAUCAAGACCCAGGAGGGAAUACGUGUGGUUGCCUGGGCUACUAUUUAUAUGCUGUCCCCCCCUUCUUUCAUUUCUUUUUCACAAGGCUGAUGUAAAAUGGCUGCCAAGGUGAGGACAAGGGAGCAAAAAAAAGGAAAAGGCCAUGCACCCCAUGGUAUGCUGUGACUGUUCCUCCUUGUUUAAUUUUCUAGGAGUGGCUAGAACGGACCAACACUACAAGAACCAGAAUGUAUUUAUUCUCUUAUUGUUUAAGAAUCCACGUUUUGUCUCUGAACUUCCCAGUGUGCUAAUGUCAUUCGGCACAGUUUGAUGGAAGGGUUUAAAAAAGUCUUACCCUUUUUGUCCACCCCCCCAGCCCCGCCCCGCCCACAGACCUACGUUUAUAAAAUGUGAACAGCUCCAUCCAGUGAGUGGUAGUAACCUGCUCUUCUAGUGACCAGUGUUCCCUUUGUGCAUGUUGAUACUGAUGUUCAGUCAUUGUGUCUCUCCUACAUUUCAUUUGGAACUUGAGAGGCGUCGGCCCCUUUCUCACUCUUCUCUUCCCGUCACUUGUAAUUAUUUAAAGCAUUAAGAAAAAGCACUUUAUCUGUACCUCGGUGGCCUGCUGUAAGCUCACUGUCAGAAACACUAUUACCGUGAGCUACAGCCCGAUAGGCAGCAGGGGAGCUAGGAAAUCAUUUGUGGUUGACUAUCCAACGGCCUUGGAGAUAUGACUAACAUUUUUUGGAUGGUUGCGUACACUGUAUUCUCACAUGGGUGUGUUUCUUUCUCAGCUCGUCUACCACACUACAAAAACCCCACAUGUGACAUUUCCUAUUGGACAAACCUGGGUGAAAUGCGUGUAAACCUUCCCUAUGCAGUAUCAGUUCAAGCUUUACGGUCGACUUUGGAAGAACAACAGAACAUGCUGGAAGAAUACUGUGAAGUCAACUACUCGUAGCCCGCGGUUAUCGAGUCAUUCGGCAAAGCAAACUGAAGCGCUGACCUUUUAGUGAGCUUUUGGGUUGAAAGGCGCACUGUUUGAAUAAGGGAGAGGGGCAGGAGCAGAGACCACUGGUGUUGAGCACAGGCCAGCCUGUAUCAAAGAACUGCACACAGUCGCCCUCGGACGAGCAGCCUGGCUAAUAUCCGCUUGGCCACAAACGCUUAGCUUGUGAUUAAGGCGGAAGAAUGAGGGACUUUUUUUUUUGUUGAGUUUUUUUCCAAGGGGAGCAGAUGACGACCAUUCUGGUUCUCUGCGCUAUGACUGCCAUCAAGCCCGGCUCGUUUUCCAGGCAGCCUUACACAGAUUCUAAAUGUAUGUACGCCCAAAAGGGGAAACGCGUGUGAGGAUUUUCCUAUGUGUGUGCAACACGGCUAUCAACUGUUGCCCAUAUUGGUCAAUGUUAUUGGCUACUUUGUUUUCUUUUUUGUUUUUGUUUUUUACGUGUACAUAAAAUAAAAUAUACAAGCAAUAUCA
Molecule: RNA transcript, 3922 nt
Organism: Nerophis ophidion (straightnose pipefish)
Lineage: Eukaryota; Metazoa; Chordata; Actinopteri; Syngnathiformes; Syngnathidae
Gene: pwwp2b
Gene name: PWWP domain containing 2B
Exons: 5
Source: RefSeq, a predicted model, not a curated record